Folsomia candida is the source of this 3865-nucleotide long non-coding RNA. RefSeq lists it as uncharacterized. The transcript has 3 exons. Lineage: Eukaryota; Metazoa; Arthropoda; Collembola; Entomobryomorpha; Isotomidae. The record is from RefSeq and is a predicted model, not a curated record.
UAGAUAUGUAAAUAUUAUGUAAUAUGUAAUGUAAGUAUUAUAAAUAUGCUCAGGCUCGGUACUUUUAGAGCCAUGUGCACCAUAAUUUGACUAAGUUAUACGGUAAUAUUUGAAUUUCGGGAAAAAAUCCCGGGAUUUGUCACGGCGAAAACCGGGAUUCCCGAUUCCCGGGAUUUAAAAAAUCGUCCGGGAUUGGAAUCCCUAGGUGGCACAAGGUUCGGAAGGUGGCCAACUCGAGCACAGAACAAGGUCAAGGUCAAGGCACAAAAAAAUACGAGACUGGAACAGAAAACACGACUGUCCACUUUGAAAAGUUGCGAGACACUGAAAUUUUUCCUCACUUUUCAGACCGGGUGUCUGGAGGUGAUCAGUUGGCAGGGAAAUUUCAGGGUGAAUUUCAGAAAUUGUAAAAGCGACGGGGCAGACUUGAUACAGCCCGAGCCAGUCGUUCUUCACUUUUUUCUUGAGUUCAAAUUGUGAGUGUGGGCGAAGCGUUUUAAAUAUAAUUCCAAAUUGACAUCGUUCUCUUUGAUGUGCACUUUCAGUUUCGUGCCAAAUUUCGUAUUUCUACCACGAUUUGCAUACAAUGUACUUCAAGGGGUAUGAAUUUAGUCGACCCCUACCACUUAAAUGACCCAACAGGUCAACCACUAUAUCAAGCAUACUCAUUUUUAAACUCAUUCAAAGCUAUGUCGUGAUUGCAUGAAUUUCGUGGUCAAACUCAGCGAGUCGUCUAAUGUCCGUUACAUAGUUUGUCUCAAAUAUUUAGACGGACGGUCAUGAAGGUUCUAUAAGAUCAUAUUCAGGAUCCAGCUAUGAAAACGGUGUCAAAUAAUUACCGGUUUUUUGCAACAAAAAAUAUAUAUUUCUACUAAUAAAUUUUCAUCCCAAAAAUUUAUCAAACGACCCGUAUCGUGCACAAGAUUCUGUUCGAAAGUGACGCCGAGAUCGACGUUGCUCUGCUUCAGAUCCUCCUCGCCAACGUUCCCGACAUCCUUUCCACCAACACCAACGUUAUCGAGGCUCUCCCCGCCAACGUUCUUCACGCCAGCACCGCCUUCCUCCACGGUUUCGCCAUCUUUCGAAACGCUGUGGGCGAUGGUGGUGUCUCUCUCUGCUCAAUGAUUAAGAUGAGCGUCAUCCCGAAAAGACUCGAUCGAGAUCAAAAUCCGGUCCAAAAACGAGUCCAUUUUUGACGACGAGGUUGACGAUGUGACCACGUUUACGGAGUACGUCCAAAGGACCCUCGUCACGCAGCGAGGUGACGACGACAACAACGCGGAGGACGGAAAGACAAGUCACAGAAUUGAAUAGAAAACUGAUCAAAAUAAGGGCUUAUCAAAUCAUGUACGAGUUUCGGCGCAAAAAAUCGGGCGCAGAGGAAGAGGAGGAUGACAGCAAUAUAGAAUUCAUCUACGGUGAUGCGGAUGACUAUUAAAUUAAUUACGCCUAUUAGUCCUGUUUAAACUAGUAACAAUUCCACCUUAGUUUAUAAAAUCGAGGCUACAAUUUAUCCCCUAUAAUUUUUCUCCCCAUUGACCCAAUCACAUUACAAAUUUGUACACAAUAUAAAUUUUGCAUCGUUUCCAAAAAUAAUAAAUUGCCUCUUUAAACAUUUACAAAUAAAAAUCUUUCCCUUGAUAACCGCAUCGCAUAGAUUUCCACGGGUAGAUUCAGAAUCCGCCUCCCCCGCUGCCGAAGUAGCCUUGGACGAGGUAGCUGACGCCGAGCAUGGCGACGACGACAACCAGUUUGGAGGCAUCAUUUAUAAAUAAUUCAUUUAAAAAUUCAUCAUUCAUUCAUCACUCAUAUAUGUACGGUCAAUCGUAAAAUUCGAAAAUAUCUAAUCAUGAUAUGCUCAAUUCUUAUUUAACGAUAAAGAUUAAGCUUAAUCAACGAUCAGUUACUUAUACUUUAUUCGCUGCCCAUUUACAUACGCAACAAAUUUAUGAAAUUCAAAUUUUGGACUUGUUCCAAAAAUGUAAAUCAUCUAAAACAUUUCUAGAUAAAUGUUGGAAUUAAGGAGCUUGAAUUGAAUUCAGAAAAAGCCUCGGACGAGGAAUCUGACGCCGAGCAGGGUGACGACGACCAGUUUGGUCGAAUCACUCAUGUCGUUGGCCGUGUUGCAAUAGUCCGUGUCACAAAGGCAGGUGUCCUUAGUGCAGGAAUUCAUCUUCAUCCCAGAUGGUGCAUCGGAACACCUGCUGCCAAAUGUUUUGUGAGAUAUACAAGCUGGAUGUAGAUAAGGGCACGAUUAGAGCAGACUUCAAAAUUUAGGGUGUAAGUAAUUUAUACGAAAAAAAACAUACUUUUCAAGAUGCUCGGACAUUUCGCCUUAUUUCCUUCGUCCUCUUUGUUCUCAGCGGUGAAGUCCUUGCAAACCACGGAAGUGGCAAUCUUCACGUUUUAAUAAGUAUCAUCCAAGAAAUCAAACAACCUGGAAUUCGAUCCCUCUCCUCCAGCUUCCUUAGCAUUCGGUCCCCGACAAAGGUAGCAGUAUAAUCCUAUCGGAAAUAGUAAAUAAUAAGUUAUGAUGUAAAAGAGAGGAGGAUAUAUAAAAUCCGUCCAGGCCCCGUUUUAGGCAUAGGUGAGCUAUAGGCAAGCGCCUAGGGCGCCAAUUUUUUGGGGCGUGGGUGGGCUGGGCGCCCGUAUACACUAGAUGAAAACAACUUUAACGAGUUUUAUAAUUUAUGAUACAAAACAAUGUGUAAAAAAUUUAUUAAAAGUAUGCAAUUUUUAAGAGAUUAAAAAUGCUUAAUUAAAUUUAUUCCAGAAGUGCUCUGAUUUGUGCGAUAGCAAUUAGUUCAAAAGGCAAAUUUGUGCAUGAUUAUAUAAUAAGAACCAUUUUAUAUAAUAAGACAAAAUUGCGACCACGUUGGGGCGAAAUUUUCUUUUUGUCUGCAUUGCCUUGAACGGGGCCGGAUUAUCCGGCCAGUUUAUUUUUAACAUUUUCUCCACUAACCUUCCGCGGGAGGGACGCGCUCCAAAAUCAUCACGACGGCGAUAGCGACGAAGACGAGCAACAGUUUUGACGAGGUUUUCAUCUUCCUUAUUGACGUUUCACUUACAGUUCGUCUAGACAGUGGGUGGGCAAGGACGAAGCUGACCAACUCCAGUAGAGAACAAGGUCAAGGUCGAGGCGCAAAAAAAUACGAGACUGGGACCUAAAACGCGCCUUGUAAAGUUGCGAGACCUGAAAAUUUGUAAACACUUUCUCCUCAUUUUUCAGACCGGGUGUCUGGUGGGGGUCGGUUGACAGGGAAAUUUCUAGCUGAAUUUCAGAAAUUGUAAAAAUUAGGGGGCAGAUUUGGUACAGCCCGAGCCAGCUUUGCCUUCCUCCAUUCGCCAUCUUUCGAAGAGCCGUGAGUGAGGGGAGAGGUCGCGACGGGAUUGUUUCUCUCUGCUCAAUGAUUAAGACAGGCUUCAUCCCGAAAAGAGUCGCGAUCAAAAUCCGGUCCAAAAACGAGUCCAGUUUUGACAUGGGAGGCGAUGUUGAUGGAGUACGUUCAAAGUACCGUCGUGGCGCAGUAAGGCGAAGACAACGACUCGGAGGAAGAAAGGAAAGGUAGAAAGUUGAAUAGAAACCUGAUCAAAAUUAGGGCUUAUCGAAUCAUGUGCGAAUUUCGGCGUAAAGCAACGGGUGCAGAUGAAGAAAUACUGAAUUUGUGUAUCGUGAUGCGGAUAACUAUUAAAUUUAAGCACAAUUAAUUAUAAAAUACAUUUACACCUAUGUAUAAGUCCUGUAGUUCCCCAAUAAUUUGUAAACGAAAGGCUACAAUUUAUUCCCAAUAAUUUUUCUCCCCAUUGAUCCAAUCAUGUUACCAAUUUGUACACAAUAUAAAUUUUGCAGCGAUUCCAAAAGUAA